Molecule: unclassified non-coding RNA, 36 nt
Filed under: Candidatus Scalindua brodae
Lineage: Bacteria; Pseudomonadati; Planctomycetota; Candidatus Brocadiia; Candidatus Brocadiales; Candidatus Scalinduaceae
Description: RNA (36-MER) from Candidatus Scalindua brodae (PDB 8D9G, chain C)
Source: RNAcentral
GACUUAAUGUCACGGUACCCAAUUUUCUGCCCCGGA